RNAcentral lists this ribosomal RNA (402 nucleotides) under bacterium. Its description in RNAcentral is "partial 16S ribosomal RNA". It matches the Rfam family "Bacterial small subunit ribosomal RNA", at positions 355 to 776 of the family's 1533-position model. The record is from RNAcentral.
UGGGGAAUUUUGCACAAUGGGGGAAACCCUGAUGCAGCGACGCCGCGUGAUUUAGAAGGCCUUCGGGUUGUAAAAAUCUUUUCUAUGGGAAGAAAAUGACAGUACCAUAGGAAUAAGGACCGGCUAAUUACGUGCAAGCAGCCGCGGUAAUACGUAAGGUCCGAGCGUUGUCCGGAAUCAUUGGGCGUAAAGGGUACGUAGGCGGGUAAGCAAGUUAGAAGUGAAAUCCUAUAGCUCAACUAUAGUAAGCUUUUAAAACUGCUCAUCUUGAGGUAUGGAAGGGAAAGUGUAAUUCCUAGUGUAGCGGUGAAAUGCGCAGAUAUUAGGAGGAAUACCGGUGGCGAAGGCGACUUUCUGGCCAUAACCUGACGCUGAGGUACGAAAGCGUGGGUAGCAAACAGG